Molecule: ribosomal RNA, 1490 nt
Filed under: uncultured bacterium
Lineage: Bacteria
Description: bacterial SSU rRNA
Rfam family: Bacterial small subunit ribosomal RNA
Source: RNAcentral
UUAUACGCGCGAUUCCCCUUUGAGUUUGAUCCUGGCUCGGAUGAAUGUUGGCGGCGUGCCUGAGAUAUGCAAGUCGAGCGUUUCCCGACGCAAGUCGGGAGAGCGGCGGACGGCUGAGUAACACGUAGGAACCUGCCCCUUUUUGGAGGAUAGCCCCGCGAAAGCGGGGAUAAUACUUCAUGGUUCCCGCCUUUGGCGGGAUAAAGGACGUAACUGUUCGAAAAGGGAUGGUCCUGCGGCUUAUCAGGUAGUUGGUAGGGUAACGGCCUACCAAGCCUAUGACGAGUAGCUGGCCCGAGAGGGUGGUCAGCCAGAGGGGGACUGAGACACGGCCCCCACUCCUACGGGAGGCAGCAAUCAGGAAUAGUCGGCAAUGGGCGAAAGCCUGACCGCGCGACGCCGCGUGUAGGAUGAAGCUCUAAUCGAGCGUAAACUACUGUGGUAGGGGAAGAAGUCCAGCUUAGCUGGAUUGACGGUACCCUACUAGAAAGGGGCCGCUAACUGCGUGCCAGAAGCGUCGGUAAUACGUGGGCCCCAAACAUUAUCCGGUUUUACUGGGUGUAAAAAGUAGUGUAGGCGGUCUGAUAAGUCUUGUCUUAAAUUCUGUGGCUCAACCAUAGAAAAGGGCGGGAAACUACCAGACUAGAAUUUUCUUUAGGGAGACUGGAACUUAGGGAGGAGUAGUGAAAUGCGUUGAUACCCUAGGGAACACCGGUGGCGAAGGCGAGUCUCUGGAAGAAAAUUGACGCUGAGACACGAAAGCUAGGGGAGCGAAGCAGAUUAGAGACCUGCGUAGUCCUAGCCUUAAACGCAUGCUUGCUAGCUGCAUCGAUCCUGCCGCAAGGCGGGAUGGUGUGGCGAAGGUAACCCAUUAAGCAAGCUACCUGGGGAGUACGGCCGCAAGGUUGAAACUCAAAGGAAUUGGCGGGGAGGCACACAACCAGUGGAACAUGUGGUUCAAUUCGAAACGAACCGAAGAACCUCACCAGGGUUUGACAUCCAAGCGUCCUAUUUCAUGGAAACAUGGAAAAUUCGUAAGAAGGCUUGGACAGGUGCUGCAUGGCUGUCGUCAGCUCGUUCCGUGAGGAGUGCCCUUAAGUGGGACAACGAGCGCAACCCCUAUCCUGUGUUAAAUCUGUCACAGGAAACUGCUCCGCCUUUGGCGGAGAGGAAGGAGGGGCAGACGUCAAGUCAGCAUGGUCCUUAUACCCUGGGCUACACACAUGUUACAAUGGAUAGCCACAACGGGUUUUGCUAGCCUGCAAAGGUAUGCAAAUCCCAAAAACUGUUCUCAGUGGGGAUUGAGGUCUGCAACCCGACCUCAUGAACACGGAAUUGGUAGUAAUCGCGGAUCAGCUAUGCCGCGGUGAAUACGUUCUUGCCUCUUGCACACACCGCCCGUCAAGCCAACAAAGUCGGAAAAAUUUGAAGGCCGCUUUAACGGUCGAGGAUUUAUUCGGCGAUGGGGGUUAAGUCGUAACAAGGUAACC